Molecule: small nucleolar RNA, 113 nt
Organism: Vicia villosa (hairy vetch)
Lineage: Eukaryota; Viridiplantae; Streptophyta; Magnoliopsida; Fabales; Fabaceae
Product: small nucleolar RNA Z107/R87
Exons: 1
Source: RefSeq, a predicted model, not a curated record
GAUCACAGUGAUGACUAUAUAAAAUUCAAGCUCAACAGACCGGAAUGCAGGGUUCCUCUCUUUCUUAUAAGAGGCUACUUUGCGUGUCGAUAGUCCCGCUCAACUGAGUGAUC